CUUUGCCUAGCAUAGGGAGCAACUGGUGAAGAGUCAGCAUCUUGAAUUUUGGAAUCACCAAAAAGGUGUUUAGAGUAGACAGGUCCAGGACAGGACGCCAUGAAUGGUCUUUUCUGGGUACCAG
Molecule: long non-coding RNA, 124 nt
Organism: Protopterus annectens (West African lungfish)
Lineage: Eukaryota; Metazoa; Chordata; Ceratodontiformes; Protopteridae
Exons: 2
Source: RefSeq, a predicted model, not a curated record